This 492-nucleotide ribosomal RNA is filed under the name uncultured bacterium. Its description in RNAcentral is "partial 16S ribosomal RNA". It matches the Rfam family "Bacterial small subunit ribosomal RNA", at positions 29 to 507 of the family's 1533-position model. The record is from RNAcentral.
AGUGAACGCUGGCGGUAGGCCUAACACAUGCAAGUCGAACGGCAGCACAGUAAGAGCUUGCUCUUACGGGUGGCGAGUGGCGGACGGGGGAGGAAUACAUCGGAAUCUACUUUUUCGUGGGGGAUAACGUAGGGAAACUUACGCUAAUACCGCAUACGACCUACGGGUGAAAGCAGGGGAUCUUCGGACCUUGCGCGAUUGAAUGAGCCGAUGUCGGAUUAGCUAGUUGGCGGGGUAAAGGCCCACCAAGGCGACGAUCCGUAGCUGGUCUGAGAGGAUGAUCAGCCACACUGGAACUGAGACAGGGUCGAGACUCCUACGGGAGGCAGCAGUGGGGAAUAUUGGACAAUGGGCGCAAGCCUGAUCCAGCCAUACCGCGUGGGUGAAGAAGGCCUUCGGGUUGUAAAGCCCUUUUGUUGGGAAAGAAAAGCAGCAGGUUAAUACCCCGCUGUUCUGACGGUACCCAAAGAAUAAGCACCGGCUAACUUCGUG